This is a long non-coding RNA of Odontomachus brunneus, 499 nucleotides long. RefSeq lists it as uncharacterized. Lineage: Eukaryota; Metazoa; Arthropoda; Insecta; Hymenoptera; Formicidae. The transcript has 3 exons. The record is from RefSeq and is a predicted model, not a curated record.
AGCGCAUCUAGUUCAGCUAAAAUGAACGAACUUGAGGACGGUCGUAGAUGGCUACAAAGAGUGCAACAUGGCGACGUAUAGUGCAAGUUGUUUUUAACUUUAUUCUUUAUAAAUAAAUAGUGUCUGCGUAAGUUCGAAAAAAAAACUCGUAUCUUGUUAUUCUUUGCGAGCGAUUGUGGGAGCAUCACAACGACGUGAAAGAAGUGAUUUAAACAUGAAUUACAAUCAUUCGAACGCUCGUCGAGGGAAACCGAAGAGAUUACUGGAUCCAUCGGCUGCUUUACAACCACCACCACCACCUUUAUCAGCACCAGCUCCUCCAAUGUCGCAGAAUCUUUAUGUGUACAACAAACAGAUACCAGUGAACAAUGGCGCAAUGCCAGAGUAUGGCUUCAAUGUUCCUAGACAGACACCGCCUCCAUAUGGAUUUCAUUCACAGAUGCCAAAUUACCCACAAAAUGAUAAUCAAGGAGGAGAAUUUGCAAGUUCUCAAUUUGCG